UACGUAGGGGGCAAGCGUUGUCCGGAUUUAUUGGGCGUAAAGAGCGUGUAGGCGGCCUGGUAGGUCAGCUGUGAAAACUCGAGGCUCAACCUCGAGAUGUCGGUUGAAACCACCUGGCUAGAGUCCGGAAGAGGAGAGUGGAAUUCCCGGUGUAGCGGUGAAAUGCGCAGAUAUCGGGAAGAACACCCGUGGCGAAGGCGGCUCUCUGGGACGGUACUGACGCUGAGACGCGAAAGCGUGGGGAGCAAACAGG
Molecule: ribosomal RNA, 253 nt
Filed under: uncultured bacterium
Lineage: Bacteria
Description: partial 16S ribosomal RNA
Rfam family: Bacterial small subunit ribosomal RNA
Source: RNAcentral